RNAcentral lists this ribosomal RNA (477 nucleotides) under uncultured Glomeromycotina. RNAcentral describes it as "SSU rRNA". It matches the Rfam family "Eukaryotic small subunit ribosomal RNA", at positions 712 to 1187 of the family's 1831-position model. The record is from RNAcentral. Lineage: Eukaryota; Fungi; Glomeromycota.
CGUAAUGCCAUUAAUUUGGUGUUGCGGGGAAUUUGGACUGUUACUUUGAAAAACUUAGAGUGUUUAAAGCAAGCUAACGCUUGAAUACAUUAGCAUGGAAUAAUGAAAUAGGACGUUCGAUCCUAUUUUGUUGGUUUCUAGGAUUGACGUAAUGAUUAAUAGGGAUAGUUGGGGGCAUUAGUAUUCAAUUGUCAGAGGUGAAAUUCUUGGAUUUAUUGAAGACUAACUACUGCGAAAGCAUUUGCCAAGGAUGUUUUCAUUAAUCAAGAACGAAAGUUAGGGGAUCGAAGGCGAUCAGAUACCGUCGUAGUCUUAACCAUAAACUAUGCCGACUAGGGAUCGGAUGAUGUUAAUUUUUUAAUAACUCAUUCGGCGCCUUACGGGAAACCAAAGUGUUUGGGUUCCGGGGGGAGUAUGGUCGCAAGGCUGAAACUUAAAGGAAUUGACGGAAGGGCACCACCAGGGGUGGAGCCUGCG